RNAcentral lists this transfer RNA (89 nucleotides) under Alphaproteobacteria bacterium. RNAcentral's name for it is "tRNA-Leu". It matches the Rfam family "tRNA". From Rfam's summary of the family: Transfer RNA (tRNA) molecules are approximately 80 nucleotides in length. Their secondary structure includes four short double-helical elements and three loops (D, anti-codon, and T loops). RNAcentral also lists the same sequence under 1 other name. The record is from RNAcentral. Lineage: Bacteria; Pseudomonadati; Pseudomonadota; Alphaproteobacteria.
GCCCCCGUGGCGGAAUUGGUAGACGCCAGCGACUUAAAAUCGCUUGAUCCGAAAGGGUCGUGCCGGUUCGAGUCCGGCCGGGGGCACCA